RNAcentral lists this ribosomal RNA (727 nucleotides) under uncultured bacterium. RNAcentral's name for it is "bacterial SSU rRNA". It matches the Rfam family "Bacterial small subunit ribosomal RNA", at positions 771 to 1498 of the family's 1533-position model. The record is from RNAcentral.
AACAGGAUUAGAUACCCUGGUAGUCCACGCCGUAAACGAUGUCGACUUGGAGGUUGUUCCCUUGAGGAGUGGCUUCCGGAGCUAACGCGUUAGGUCGACCGCCUGGGGAGUACGGCCGCAAGGUUAAAACUCAAAUGAAUUGACGGGGGCCCGCACAAGCGGUGGAGCAUGUGGUUUAAUUCGAUGCAACGCGAAGAACCUUACCUACUCUUGACAUCCAGAGAACUUAGCAGAGAUGCUUUGGUGCCUUCGGGAACUCUGAGACAGGUGCUGCAUGGCUGUCGUCAGCUCGUGUUGUGAAAUGUUGGGUUAAGUCCCGCAACGAGCGCAACCCUUAUCCUUUGUUGCCAGCGGCUAGGCCGGGAGCUCAAAGGAGACUGCCAGUGAUAAACUGGAGGAAGGUGGGGAUGACGUCAAGUCAUCAUGGCCCUUACGAGUAGGGCUACACACGUGCUACAAUGGCGCAUACAAAGAGAAGCGACCUCGCGAGAGCAAGCGGACCUCAUAAAGUGCGUCGUAGUCCGGAUUGGAGUCUGCAACUCGACUCCAUGAAGUCGGAAUCGCUAGUAAUCGUAGAUCAGAAUGCUACGGUGAAUACGUUCCCGGGCCUUGUACACACCGCCCGUCACACCAUGGGAGUGGGUUGCAAAAGAAGUAGGUAGCUUAACCUCCGGGAGGGCGCUUACCACUUUGUGAUUCAUGACUGGGGUGAAGUCGUAACAAGGUA